AUUAAAUUCUAAUGCAUGACAUUUUCCAGUUCUGUUACAGAGAAUAAAAAUGGGUUGAGAAAAAUAUGUACAAUCCUCAAGCCAUUUUGUGAAUGGGAAGUCACUAAAUGGCUGAGUGUGUCAGCUGACACUCUAAGCCAAUCAGCAGGGCCUCUGCACCUAGGCUUCUGUAUUAAAGCUUUUUAGCAAGCGAAUGUUGGAGGGGGCAGAGCGAACCGGUGCAGGAGAGGAGAAUUUAGGUUAAAUAGUUCAUGAACUGGGACAUUGUGGCACCAUAACAGCUUCAUUUCAAUUAAGUGGUUAUGAUGCCCGGAGGGACUUUAAGCCUUCUCUGUUGUAGGUCAAUUUUUUUCAAGAUUGAAUACAAAAAGACAUGGGCUGGUUUACAA
Pelobates cultripes (western spadefoot toad) is the source of this 389-nucleotide non-coding RNA. The record is from the annotation of a GenBank genome assembly. NCBI's taxonomy places the organism in Eukaryota, Metazoa, Chordata, Amphibia, Anura, Pelobatidae.